UGCGUAGGUGGUUGUUUAAGUCUGUUGUGAAAGCCCUGGGCUCAACCUGGGAAUUGCAGUGGAUACUGGGCGACUAGAGUGUGGUAGAGGGUAGUGGAAUUCCCGGUGUAGCAGUGAAAUGCGUAGAGAUCGGGAGGAACACCAGUGGCGAAGGCGGCUUACUGGUCCAUUACUGACGCUGAGGUGCGAAAGCGUGAGGAGCAAGCA
RNAcentral lists this ribosomal RNA (207 nucleotides) under uncultured bacterium. RNAcentral's name for it is "partial 16S ribosomal RNA". It matches the Rfam family "Bacterial small subunit ribosomal RNA", at positions 568 to 774 of the family's 1533-position model. The record is from RNAcentral.